UUCUGAAGAAUAAAGCCCAAUCGGUUGGGCCUGCAUCUUUUUGUUUUUUCUGCAACUUUAUCGUUUUCUAGUUUGAAUAAGUCACCACCUAUGUAGGAGAAAGAAUCGUGACAUUAGUUUAGUUGCAGAGUUUCGUAGCUUCAGUUGCUUUCUUUGUAAGGUCAAUUUAUUGAGCAAUCUGAAUUUAAUGCAAGUAAGAGUUUUCAGUACUUGUUCUUGCAAAUCUCUGUUUUUCCUUAAAGUGAGAUUUGAUAAAACAA
This 260-nucleotide small RNA is filed under the name Arabidopsis thaliana (thale cress). Its description in RNAcentral is "ATSL043590". The record is from RNAcentral. Lineage: Eukaryota; Viridiplantae; Streptophyta; Magnoliopsida; Brassicales; Brassicaceae.